This 790-nucleotide small RNA is filed under the name uncultured Cryptococcus. Its description in RNAcentral is "eukaryotic LSU rRNA". The stretch from base 505 to 790 matches the Rfam family "Eukaryotic large subunit ribosomal RNA", at positions 1 to 281 of the family's 3401-position model. The record is from RNAcentral. Lineage: Eukaryota; Fungi; Basidiomycota; Tremellomycetes.
CUUGGUCAUUUAGAGGAAGUAAAAGUCAUAACAAGGUUUCCGUAGGUGAACCUGCGGAAGGAUCAUUAAUAAUGCCCUCUGGCUUCGGUCAGCUGGGUUCAAUGUGUGACAUCUCUUCGGAGAUGGCCAUCCACACACACCGUGAACUGUGACUUCGGUCAUCACAAACUUUUAGUAAUGAAUGUAAAAAUCAUAACAAAAUAAAACUUUUAACAACGGAUCUCUUGGCUCUCGCAUCGAUGAAGAACGCAGCGAAAUGCGAUAAGUAAUGUGAAUUGCGGAAUUCAGUGAAUCAUCGAAUCUUUGAACGCACCUUGCGCCCUUUGGUAUUCCGAAGGGCAUGCCUGUUUGAGUGUCAUGAAACCUCACUCCACUUGGGUUUUUGCCUGAGUGGUAGUGUAUUGGGUGUUGCCUUGCCAAAGGCUCGCCUUAAAAGAAUAAGCACCUUGGAUGUAAUACGUUUCAUCCUUUCGGGUGGCUAAUAACCCCACAUAACUCAUGAUCUGGCCUCAAAUCAGGUAGGGCUACCCGCUGAACUUAAGCAUAUCAAUAAGCGGAGGAAAAGAAACUAACUAGGAUUCCCUUAGUAACGGCGAGUGAACCGGGAUGAGCUCAAAUUUGAAAUCUGGCGUCUUUCAGGCGUCCGAGUUGUAAUCUAUAGAGGCGUUUUCCGCGCUGGACCGCGUCCAAGUCUCUUGGAAUAGAGUAUCAAAGAGGGUGACAAUCCCGUACUUGACGCGACAACCGGUGCUCUGUGAUACGUUCUCAACGAGUCGAGUUGUUUGGGAAU